RNAcentral lists this ribosomal RNA (304 nucleotides) under Escherichia coli. RNAcentral describes it as "partial 23S ribosomal RNA". It matches the Rfam family "Bacterial large subunit ribosomal RNA", at positions 1 to 293 of the family's 2925-position model. The record is from RNAcentral. Lineage: Bacteria; Pseudomonadati; Pseudomonadota; Gammaproteobacteria; Enterobacterales; Enterobacteriaceae.
GGGUUGUGAGGUUAAGCGACUAAGCGUACACGGUGGAUGCCCUGGCAGUCAGAGGCGAUGAAGGACGUGCUAAUCUGCGAUAAGCGUCGGUGAGGUGAUAUGAACCGUUAUAACCGGCGAUUUCCGAAUGGGGAAACCCAGUGUGUUUCGACACACUAUCAUUAACUGAAUCCAUAGGUUAAUGAGGCGAACCGGGGGAACUGAAACAUCUAAGUACCCCGAGGAAAAGAAAUCAACCGAGAUUCCCCCAGUAGCGGCGAGCGAACGGGGAGGAGCCCAGAGCCUGAAUCAGUGUGUGUGUUAG